AAUUAUUUUUGAAAUAUGUUUAUGUUUCAGUUUUAUUCGUAUAGUUUUUGAAUCAAUGAAGCUUUUAUUAAUUUAAAAAAUAAUAUACACAUGGCGAGAUCACAUCGGAUCCAGCCUACAAAAACCAAUCCCACUAUGAAAGCAAGAAACCAAAAAUAUAUAAGUUAGUUCAUCAUCAACCUAACAAUGAGUGUGCUAACUUUUUGGUUUUUCCACCCCUUAUACAUAAUGACAUCUAUGAUUUUCUCUUCUAUCUUCGUGUUAUUUACAAUAUUUUCAUAAUUCUUAUCAUUCCAAUGCUUCCAUAUUUCAUAAAUUGCUUUUGUUGCUGCAAACUAGAUUAAGCUAGCUUUCCAGCCUUUUGUUUUGCUCCUCCUGACAAUCCAUUGUAGCUCUUCCUUCUAGAUAUUCCUAAGUUCAUCACAUCCAAACAACAGGUGCUGGAGUGUUUCAACCUUAGGACAGAAACAUCAUUUAUUGUUAUCAAUCAAACCAAAUCGUUGCAACCUUUCUUUAGUGGCUAGUUUCUCAUGAAAGGCUAACCACAUCACUACCAGUGAUGUGUUCAUUUAUUUCUUUUUGGGAGGUUGGUCUACAUUUAAAAUUUAAAAAAUCUUAAUUUAAUUUAAAUAAAAUUAAAUUAAUUAAUAGAAAUUUUAAAAAAUAUAUAUAAUUCAAUAAAAAAAGUUAUUAUUUGCGAUUUGUAAGGUCAGAUUAUAAUAGUUAUUUUAUAUUUAUUUAAUUUUAAAGUGGCCCUUCAAAGUCUUCAAAGCGGUAAUAUCUCUUUCGUGCCUUUGGAAUCGAACAUACUAUGAUUGAUUGAUUAUUACACUAUUUUUGCAGCCUGCAAAAAGAAUACUCAUUAGAUUACACUUUACUCGAAAACGACCCUUAAAAUAUAGAUAAAUAUUUUUUUUAAUUAAAUUCUUAUUGUGCAGAAGGAUGUGAAGCGUGUCAAUAGAGCAUACGUGCGCUCCACCUUUGUUGCGGCAGUCCCUAAAUCAUAUGUUUCAAUUGCGAUUUACUCCGGUUCCACAACAGUUUCAUGUGCUUGUCUAGGUUCUUCGGUGCGUCUUUUUGGACAGUAUGACUAUCAAUGGAUGGAAUAUGAUGAUUCCCCUUGCCUUUUUUGGACUGAAUAAUUUGGGAAAUUUUGAGAUCUUGAUAUGGAAUCAUUGAAUGAUACUUUUCUCCAAUCAUUAUGUGUUGACUUCAACCAAGUUUCAAAUCACAUGUCAGAAUGGCUUCCUCAACCACAUAUAAUCAUAUGGUGUAAAAAUGUUAGCUUUGUUGUUAUGUUACAUAGAGAAAGCAGAAAGUUGUUUUGUUGAACAUAGAAAAAGCAGAAAAAUGUUUUGUUGUUCGAUUACAUAGUAAAAAAUGUCAAAAAUUACACUGAUAUAAGUAUUAAGUGUAAAAG
Long non-coding RNA from Vicia villosa (hairy vetch), 1420 nucleotides. RefSeq lists it as uncharacterized. Lineage: Eukaryota; Viridiplantae; Streptophyta; Magnoliopsida; Fabales; Fabaceae. The record is from RefSeq and is a predicted model, not a curated record. The transcript is spliced from 3 exons.